Molecule: RNA transcript, 1751 nt
Organism: Musa acuminata AAA Group (dessert banana)
Lineage: Eukaryota; Viridiplantae; Streptophyta; Magnoliopsida; Zingiberales; Musaceae
Gene name: nudix hydrolase 2-like
Exons: 11
Source: RefSeq, a predicted model, not a curated record
CUCGAGGAGUGGUUCCCGUGCCGCCGCUGAUUCGGUUGCGGGCCGCAAUAGCUAAUCGCAUCAUCACGUCAUUGGCUUAGGGUUGUCGUUUAGAGAAUUGCCUUUGGUUUGGUCUGUUGAAGCGAUGAUCCGAUCCUAACGUCCCGAUCUACACACGCUCGCUACCAUCGGCCUUUUCAUCGCCUGAAUCGCCGCCGACGGAUCCUCUCUCGUGGUUCUAGGAGGGCUGCAAAACUAUUCAGGAACAGAUUUAUGUCGAUUUUAGUGAAUCAGUCAUCCGUUUUGGGCCCAGAAUUGACUGAUGAUGUAGAGGUUGCUCUGCUGUCUGCAGUCGAUGAUGACCAUGGAGGUGUCAUUGUUGAAUUGAAGGAACCAAUGGACCCUGCAGCUUUCCAUACUUCGUUAAGAGCAUCUAUAAGUAAUUGGAAGAAGCAGGGAAUAAAAGGUGCUUGGAUUAAAUUGCCUAUUCAACUUGCAAAUCUUGUUGAAGCUUGUGUUAAGGAGGGAUUUUGGUACCACCAUGCUGAACCCAGUUACUUGAUGCUUGUUUGUUGGCUUCCUAAUACCGAACAUACCAUACCUGUAAAUGCCUCACAUAGAGUGGGAGUUGGAGCUUUUGUAAUGAAUGAUAAAAGAGAGGUUUUGGUGGUCCAAGAAAAGAAUGGCAUACUUAGAGGUUUAGGUCUAUGGAAGUUUCCCUCAGGAGUUGUUGAACAAGGUGAAGAUAUUCAUGCUGGAGUAAUAAGGGAAGUAAAAGAAGAGACAGGAAUUGACACUGAAUUUAUUGAAGUUCUUGCAUUCAGGCAGAGCCACAAGUCGUUCUUUGGGAAGUCAGAUUUAUUCUUUGUGUGCAUGCUACGCCCUCUUUCACACGACAUUUAUCCUCAAGAAUUAGAGAUCGAAGCUGCCCAGUGGAUGCCAGUGGAGGAAUAUGCAGCACAACCUCUCGUCCAGAAACAUGAGCUAUUAAAGUAUAUUCUUGAUGUCGGCAUGGCAAAGAUCGACAAGGGCUAUUCUGGCUUCUCGCCAGUUUCCGUGAAGGCACCAUUCUCUGGUUCACAGGGCCAUCUAUAUCUAAACAGCAGGGACUUGAACCUGCCAAGAACUGUCAACAUGUCUUAGAGAUGUUAAUUGUCUGUGCCGAGUCUAAAAGAUAUAAGUGAUCAAUAACACGCAUUGAGUUCUAAUAUUACAUGCUUCGUGAAAUGUCACAUGGUAACAGUAUGGAUGACAACUAAGAAAGAGAAGAUGAGUAGCUCUUAAUGGUCAUCAAUCUUUUGCCUCUUUGGAGCUUGUUCAGACUCAUCACCGUUGCUCCCCACCACCGAGUCUCCCAUUACUUGAUCGAGAGGUGAAUGGUUGCAGUUAUCCUACAAGCACAUCGAUUGAUAGGAUGUUCAGAUAAAAAGAAAAUGAUAAAGUGCAACAAAUUCGACAUGGCUACUGCAUCGUAAGGGUCACUGAGUUAUUCUUGACCACCAAACAAGCAUCAAACAAACAUUAUCGUUUGAAACCUUAUUGAUGGGGCCCGAGUUAAACAAUGGAACUCAAUGAAGAUUAGUCCGAGACAGCUUUAACCAAGGAGGUACGAAUACCGACAUCCAUGGGUUACCACUAGAGAAAAAGGAUCACAACCGACGAGACCUCGAUACAUCUCUAGUUGCGAUAGCAUGUGCAUUCACAAAUUUAAAUGGAAAGCUGGUAGUAAGAACAGAUGAAAAUGAAUACAUAGCAUAUACCUUUGCACUGGA